RNAcentral lists this ribosomal RNA (447 nucleotides) under uncultured bacterium. RNAcentral's name for it is "partial 16S ribosomal RNA". It matches the Rfam family "Bacterial small subunit ribosomal RNA", at positions 29 to 523 of the family's 1533-position model. The record is from RNAcentral.
AGCGAACGCUGGCGGCAGGCCUAACACAUGCAAGUCGAACGAUCCUUCGGGAUAGUGGCGGACGGGUGAGUAACACGUGGGAACGUGCCUUUUGGUUCGGAACAACACAGGGAAACUUGAGCUAAUACCGGAUGUGCCCUUCGGGGGAAAGAUUUAUCGCCAUUAGAGCGGCCCGCGUCUGAUUAGCUAGUUGGCGGGGUAAAGGCCUACCAAGGCGGCGAUCAGUAGCUGGUCUGAGAGGAUGAUCAGCUACAUUGGGACUGAGACACGGCCCAAACUCCUACGGGAGGCAGCAGUGGGGAAUCUUGCGCAAUGGGCGAAAGCCUGACGCAGCCAUGCCGCGUGAAUGAUGAAGGUCUUAGGAUUGUAAAAUUCUUUCACCGGGGACGAUAAUGACGGUACCCGGAGAAGAAGCCCCGGCUAACUUCGUGCCAGCCGCCGCAGUAA